Molecule: ribosomal RNA, 468 nt
Filed under: uncultured bacterium
Lineage: Bacteria
Description: partial 16S ribosomal RNA
Rfam family: Bacterial small subunit ribosomal RNA
Source: RNAcentral
GACGAACGCUGGCGGCGUGCUUAACACAUGCAAGUCGAACGGUGAAGCUCCAGCUUGCUGGAGUGGAUCAGUGGCGAACGGGUGAGUAACACGUGAGCAACCUGCCCCUGACUCUGGAAUAAGCGCUGGAAACGGCGUCUAAUACUGGAUACGAGAAGGGUCCGCAUGGGCACUUUCUGGAAAGUUUUUCGGUUGGGGAUGGGCUCGCGGCCUAUCAGCUUGUUGGUGAGGUAAUGGCUCACCAAGGCGACGACGGGUAGCCGGCCUGAGAGGGCGACCGGCCACACUGGGACUGAGACACGGCCCAGACUCCUACAGGAGGCAGCAGUGGGGAAUAUUGCACAAUGGGCGAAAGCCUGAUGCAGCGACGCCGCGUGAGGGAUGACGGCCUUCGGGUUGUAAACCUCUUUCAGCAGGGAAGAAGCGAAAGUGACGGUACCUGCAGAAGAAGCACCGGCUAACUACGUG